GCCAGUGUGGUACAGCAGUUUGAGCACUGGACUAAGAUUCCAGAGACCAGAGUUCGAAUCCCUACUCAGCCA
Non-coding RNA from Phrynosoma platyrhinos (Desert horned lizard), 72 nucleotides. Lineage: Eukaryota; Metazoa; Chordata; Lepidosauria; Squamata; Phrynosomatidae. The record is from the annotation of a GenBank genome assembly.